RNAcentral lists this unclassified non-coding RNA (42 nucleotides) under Nicotiana tabacum (common tobacco). RNAcentral describes it as "PI-Ib". Lineage: Eukaryota; Viridiplantae; Streptophyta; Magnoliopsida; Solanales; Solanaceae. The record is from RNAcentral.
CGAGAUUUGGAAAUCAAUGUCUUGCAACUUGAUGUGUCUCAG